CAAUGGGCGCAAGCCUGAUGCAGCCAUGCCGCGUGUAUGAAGAAGGCCUUCGGGUUGUAAAGUACUUUCAGUCGUGAGGAAGGCGGUGUCGUUAAUAGCGGCAUUGUUUGACGUUAGCGACAGAAGAAGCACCGGCUAACUCCGUGCCAGCAGCCGCGGUAAUACGGAGGGUGCGAGCGUUAAUCGGAAUUACUGGGCGUAAAGCGCAUGCAGGUGGUUUGUUAAGUCAGAUGUGAAAGCCCGGGGCUCAACCUCGGAAUAGCAUUUGAAACUGGCAGACUAGAGUACUGUAGAGGGGGGUAGAAUUUCAGGUGUAGCGGUGAAAUGCGUAGAGAUCUGAAGGAAUACCGGUGGCGAAGGCGGCCCCCUGGACAGAUACUGACACUCAGAUGCGAAAGCGUGGGGAGCAAACAGGAUUAGAUACUCUGGUAGUCCACGCCGUAAACGAUGUCUACUUGGAGGUUGUGGCCUUGAGCCGUGGCUUUCGGAGCUAACGCGUUAAGUAGACCGCCUGG
RNAcentral lists this ribosomal RNA (515 nucleotides) under Vibrio alginolyticus. RNAcentral's name for it is "bacterial SSU rRNA". It matches the Rfam family "Bacterial small subunit ribosomal RNA", at positions 369 to 876 of the family's 1533-position model. Lineage: Bacteria; Pseudomonadati; Pseudomonadota; Gammaproteobacteria; Vibrionales; Vibrionaceae. The record is from RNAcentral.